Molecule: ribosomal RNA, 254 nt
Filed under: Limosilactobacillus fermentum
Lineage: Bacteria; Bacillati; Bacillota; Bacilli; Lactobacillales; Lactobacillaceae
Description: Lactobacillus fermentum partial 16S ribosomal RNA
Rfam family: Bacterial small subunit ribosomal RNA
Source: RNAcentral
UAACGCAUUAAGCACUCCGCCUGGGGAGUACGGCCGCAAGGCUGAAACUCAAAGGAAUUGACGGGGGCCCGCACAAGCGGUGGAGCAUGUGGUUUAAUUCGAAGCAACGCGAAGAACCUUACCAGGUCUUGACAUCCUCUGACAACCCUAGAGAUAGGGCUUCUCCUUCGGGAGCAGAGUGACAGGUGGUGCAUGGUUGUCGUCAGCUCGUGUCGUGAGAUGUUGGGUUAAGUCCCGCAACGAGCGCAACCCUU